AAGUCGUAACAAGGUCUCCGUAGGUGAACCUGCGGAGGGAUCAUUACCCAAAUAUGAAACGCAGACUGGGCACCCUCGAGGAGCGAUUCGUCGUCCCCCUCCUGGGCCGGUCUGACGCCAUAUUCACCCAUGUCUUUUGCGUACUACUUGUUUCCUUGGCGGGUUCGCCCGCCAUUAGGACCCAACCAUAAACCUUUUUGUAAUUGCAAUCAGCGUCUGAACAAUGUAAUAAAUUACAACUUUCAACAACGGAUCUCUUGGUUCUG
RNAcentral lists this unclassified non-coding RNA (266 nucleotides) under Drechslera avenae. RNAcentral's name for it is "partial contains small subunit ribosomal RNA, internal transcribed spacer 1, and 5.8S ribosomal RNA". The stretch from base 1 to 46 matches the Rfam family "Eukaryotic small subunit ribosomal RNA", at positions 1786 to 1831 of the family's 1831-position model. RNAcentral also lists the same sequence under 1 other name. The record is from RNAcentral. Lineage: Eukaryota; Fungi; Ascomycota; Dothideomycetes; Pleosporales; Pleosporaceae.